Molecule: ribosomal RNA, 449 nt
Filed under: uncultured bacterium
Lineage: Bacteria
Description: partial 16S ribosomal RNA
Rfam family: Bacterial small subunit ribosomal RNA
Source: RNAcentral
UUCCAGACUCCUACGGGAGGCAGCAGUGAGGAAUAUUGGUCAAUGGGCGGAAGCCUGAACCAGCCAAGUCGCGUGAGGGAAGAAGGCUUUCGGGUUGUAAACUUCUUUUCUCAGGGACGAAGAAAGUGACGGUACCUGAGGAAUAAGCCACGGCUAACUACGUGCCAGCAGCCGCGGUAAUACGUAGGUGGCAAGCGUUAUCCGGAUUUAUUGGGUGUAAAGGGCGUGUAGGCGGGAGCGCAAGUCAGAUGUGAAAACUCAGGGCUCAACCCUGAGCCUGCAUUUGAAACUGUGUUUCUUGAGUGCUGGAGAGGCAAUCGGAAUUCCGUGUGUAGCGGUGAAAUGCGUAGAUAUACGGAGGAACACCAGUGGCGAAGGCGGAUUGCUGGACAGUAACUGACGUUGAGGCCCGAAAGCGUGGGGAGCAAACAGGAUUAGAUACCCGGGUA